UUACACGCUGAUUGGCUCUGGAAUAGUUUCGCUUUCAAAGAUUGACAGCUCGGGAGGCGAAUGAGCAACCGAGACAGUGUUUCAAUGACUUUUCAAGAGCCCAACCUUUCUGAGGAGAUUUAUACAUGAUAAUUUAUCCCCGUAUUUAUUAUUUAUUGAUAAAUAAUUAAAAGUCCCAUGAUAUAUUUAUAAAAACACUGGGGACUGGAGGAGGUUGAGGUGCCUAAAAGCUAUGUUGGUUUGUGGAUUGGGACCAAACUUGGUCCACAGACCCUUUAUUGCCCACCAGAGUGGAAAUCAUCUCUCGGAUGGAUGGCAAGCUAUUUAACCUCAGAAGACAAAGCCAAAACCAAGCCGCCCCGAGUCCCUGUCGGGAGAUGGUGGCAAGAUAGAAGAAUAAAGUUACUUACUUACUAAGUUACGUACAAACCACUCUAAACACCAUUGAAGAAGCAUACAAGAAGCUUGGCCUCUCAUUGAACAUCAAACUGGAGGUCAGCUGUGACCAGCAGUGCUGUGGAAUUUGGAGAGGAAUGGAGGGUGAAAAGGAGAAACACGCCAAAAGGAAGAAGAUGCGUCAAGCCAACCCUGAUCAAGACUGCCUUCCACCUGGAAACCGAUGUCCUCACUGUGGAACAACAUGCGGGUCAAGAAUAGGGCUCCACAGUUACCUACGUAUCCACCGUUAAGACACUGCACUUGGAAGGCCAUCAGAAUAAUUGUAUAGACAUUUCUCUUAUAUACAAUUAUUAAAACAGUUCAGUUAAAAUAAGUGACAAUAAAAAGACACUUUUAAUUUCCAUCUAAUUAUACAUAGGACAAAAAAAUCCUCCCCCCAAAACUCCGGGAAAACAUAUCUGGAGUGUAAAACUAGUACAAAAAUUAUAUUACUAUAUAUCGGUCUCUCCCGAAUGGCACAAUCGCCAGUUGCUUUGAAGAUUUGUCAUUUUUAUAUAAAAAUAAUAAUAAUAAUGACAACGAUAAAAGAAAACCGGGAUAUGCUACAAAAGAGCCUGAGGAGUUACAAAAGCUUGUGAAUAAUUUUACAAAUGACUUAUGCAUAUAAACAACCAAAGUUGAGGGACGGCGGUGGAAGUCAUUGUCAUGCUCUGUUUGGAAGCUUCCAGAAACAUCUGGGUGCCAGCUGUUGGAGGAAAAAGAGAGACGUGGUUCCAGAUGGAGGCGAAAAUAACAGUUGUUGCAUUGUUUGGAGGAUCUGGAAUCAGGUUGGUCUUGCUGGCCAAAGGGAGCUUCUCUUAAAGACUAGUCCGGGUGAAAAAUACAGCCUGGUCCAUUUGGGGUAAGUAUUCUGAGAAGUCAAAAAACUGUGUCUUAAAUUGAGAAAGUUCUUCUUUUGUAUUGAUUUAUGAUCUGAUCACAGCAGCGUAAUCUCGCUCGGUGGGAGCGUAAGUCUCUUUUCCCUUGCGUGCAGCAAGCUCUCCAUGUGUGUGGCGAUUACCCGGCACAGCUCCAGACCCUGGGAAGGAGAGAAAGAAAGAAAGAAAGGAAGAAAGAAAGAAAGAAAGAAAGA
Anolis carolinensis (green anole) is the source of this 1531-nucleotide long non-coding RNA. RefSeq lists it as uncharacterized. Lineage: Eukaryota; Metazoa; Chordata; Lepidosauria; Squamata; Anolidae. The transcript is spliced from 2 exons. The record is from RefSeq and is a predicted model, not a curated record.